Molecule: ribosomal RNA, 253 nt
Filed under: uncultured bacterium
Lineage: Bacteria
Description: partial 16S ribosomal RNA
Rfam family: Bacterial small subunit ribosomal RNA
Source: RNAcentral
UACGUAGGUGGCAAGCGUUGUCCGGAUUUACUGGGCGUAAAGAGCGCGCAGGCGGUCGUUCAAGUCGCGUGUGAAAGCCCCCGGCUCAACUGGGGAGGGUCACGCGAUACUGAUCGACUCGAAGGCAGGAGAGGGAAGUGGAAUUCCCGGUGUAGUGGUGAAAUGCGUAGAGAUCGGGAGGAACACCCGUGGCGAAGGCGGCUCACUGGGCUGACCUUGACGCUGAGGCGCGAAGGCGUGGGGAGCGAACAGG